RNAcentral lists this transfer RNA (76 nucleotides) under Candidatus Omnitrophota bacterium. RNAcentral describes it as "Candidatus Omnitrophica bacterium (sediment metagenome) tRNA-Arg". It matches the Rfam family "tRNA". Rfam says of the family: Transfer RNA (tRNA) molecules are approximately 80 nucleotides in length. Their secondary structure includes four short double-helical elements and three loops (D, anti-codon, and T loops). Lineage: Bacteria; Pseudomonadati; Candidatus Omnitrophota. The record is from RNAcentral.
GCGCCUGUAGCUCAGUGGAUAGAGCGACUGCCUCCUAAGCAGUAGGCCGCGCGUCCGAUUCGCGCCAGGCGCACCA